This 486-nucleotide ribosomal RNA is filed under the name uncultured bacterium. Its description in RNAcentral is "bacterial SSU rRNA". It matches the Rfam family "Bacterial small subunit ribosomal RNA", at positions 87 to 569 of the family's 1533-position model. The record is from RNAcentral.
GCUGACGAGUGGCGAACGGGUGAGUAAUGCAUCGGAACGUGCCCAAUCGUGGGGGAUAACGUAGCGAAAGUUACGCUAAUACCGCAUAAGCCCUGAGGGGGAAAGCAGGGGAUCGCAAGACCUUGCGCGAAUGGAGCGGCCGAUGUCAGAUUAGCUAGUUGGUGGGGUAAAGGCCUACCAAGGCGACGAUCUGUAGCGGGUCUGAGAGGAUGAUCCGCCACACUGGGACUGAGACACGGCCCAGACUCCUACGGGAGGCAGCAGUGGGGAAUUUUGGACAAUGGGCGCAAGCCUGAUCCAGCCAUGCCGCGUGCGGGACGAAGGCCUUCGGGUUGUAAACCGCUUUCAGCCGGAAAGAAAUCGCCAAGGCUAAUAUCCUUGGUGGAUGACGGUACCGGAAGAAGAAGCACCGGCUAACUACGUGCCAGCAGCCGCGGUAAUACGUAGGGUGCGAGCGUUAAUCGGAAUUACUGGGCGUAAAGGGUG